UGAGUGGCGGACGGGUGAGUAACGCGUGGGUAACCUGCCUCACACAGGGGGAUAGCAGUUGGAAACGGCUGAUAAUACCGCAUAAGCGCACAGUACCGCAUGGUACAGUGUGAAAAACUCCGGUGGUGUGAGAUGGACCCGCGUCUGAUUAGCUUGUUGGCAGGGUAACGGCCUACCAAGGCAACGAUCAGUAGCCGACCUGAGAGGGUGACCGGCCACAUUGGGACUGAGACACGGCCCAGACUCC
RNAcentral lists this ribosomal RNA (247 nucleotides) under uncultured Lachnospiraceae bacterium. RNAcentral describes it as "partial 16S ribosomal RNA". It matches the Rfam family "Bacterial small subunit ribosomal RNA", at positions 92 to 339 of the family's 1533-position model. The record is from RNAcentral. Lineage: Bacteria; Bacillati; Bacillota; Clostridia; Lachnospirales; Lachnospiraceae.